Molecule: non-coding RNA, 74 nt
Organism: Clostridiales bacterium 38-18
Lineage: Bacteria; Bacillati; Bacillota; Clostridia; Eubacteriales
Source: Rfam
AUUAUGAUACUUCCGUUUGGUCAUUAAAGUGAGAACGGCUUGCCAUUAGUAUGGGGAGAGGAAAAAUCCUAUGA